This 28-nucleotide small RNA is filed under the name Bombyx mori (domestic silkworm). RNAcentral's name for it is "piRNA piR-bmo-1304808". Lineage: Eukaryota; Metazoa; Arthropoda; Insecta; Lepidoptera; Bombycidae. The record is from RNAcentral.
UAGUGGGUUACAUGCAUUUACUGGAUGU